UGAAGAUGUAAAUAAUUUCUACUAUCGCUUAUAAAGUUUACAACGCCGACCGCAAUGACAUUUUCAGAUCCAAUUAGCUUGUCGCACACAUGCAUCGCAGUAUGUACACACAGCACACGGCUCCUAGACUGUACGAUCCCCCCACAGCGCUCAGUUAUUGACCCGACUAUAGUUCGGGAGCUCAGCGAGCGCAGUCUAGAACUUCACUAGCCUAGCCCCACGAUGCCGGCGCCGUGCGACUCUUGUAAAUCGACGUGUGGCAGCGGCACAGCCGCUUGCGGCAGUGGCUGCACUUGCGGCCCGAGCUGCGCGUGCGGCGAUGGCAAACCCUCUGGUGGCAAGCCCUGCUGUCAGGGCAAGUAAUCGGCCGUGUGGGCGGUAUCUUCAGAUGACAUGAAGAUACAUUAAAGUUAAUCAUUUAAAAUCUUUUUUAGUCGUUAGUUAUAGAGUAGAACGCAAUCAUGUAACUUACUCGUUUUUAACCUAACUUCUUUAUUUUAUUAAUUAUAAUAAGAAAUAUUGUGUCGUCAUGAAAUAAAUAUUGAUGCUAGAAUUACGCUUAAAGUAUUAAAUUUUAAUUAUAAAUUAAUAUGUAGUUAUUAGUUAAAUAGUUUAUUUCUUAGUGUCUAUUAAUGUUUAGGUAAAUGUAAUUUUAUCACAUUCAGUGUUUUAAUAUAAUUCUCAUAAGAUGGGUCUUUAGUACUGCAAUACUCAUUAAUUUAAGCUAUGUAUGUCGUAUGAGGGCACGCACACACGCAUAGGUAUGGUGUAGUGAGUGUAUAGUGUAAUAAAUUAAAUUAAAUCGA
Long non-coding RNA from Nymphalis io (European peacock), 806 nucleotides. RefSeq lists it as uncharacterized. The transcript is spliced from 3 exons. The record is from RefSeq and is a predicted model, not a curated record. Lineage: Eukaryota; Metazoa; Arthropoda; Insecta; Lepidoptera; Nymphalidae.